Ovis aries (sheep) is the source of this 73-nucleotide non-coding RNA. NCBI's taxonomy places the organism in Eukaryota, Metazoa, Chordata, Mammalia, Artiodactyla, Bovidae. The record is from Rfam.
UCCCUGGUGGUCCAGUGGUUAGGAUUCUGUGCUCUCACUGCCGAGGGCCUGGGUUCACUCCCUGGUCAGGGAA